This 371-nucleotide ribosomal RNA is filed under the name uncultured bacterium. RNAcentral describes it as "bacterial SSU rRNA". It matches the Rfam family "Bacterial small subunit ribosomal RNA", at positions 527 to 896 of the family's 1533-position model. The record is from RNAcentral.
GUAGGGGGCAAGCGUUGUCCGGAUUUACUGGGCGUAAAGCGCGCGUAGGCGGAAGGUGAAGCGUGGCCUGAAAGCCCCCGGCUCAACCGGGGAGGGCGGCUGCGAACUGGCCUUCUUGAGGGCGAUAGAGGGGGGCGGAAUUCCUGGUGUAGCGGUGAAAUGCGUAGAGAUCAGGAGGAACACCCGUGGCGAAGGCGGCCCCCUGGGUCGGCCCUGACGCUGAGGCGCGAAAGCGUGGGGAGCGAACGGGAUUAGAUACCCCGGUAGUCCACGCCGUAAACGAUGGUCACUAGGGGUGUGCGGUAUCGACCCCGCACGUGCCACAGCUAACGCAAGAAGUGACCCGCCUGGGGAGUACGGCCGCAAGGUUG